UCGAGGAUCUUCGGCAAUGGACGCAAGUCUGACCGAGCGACGCCGCGUGCGGGAUGAAGGCCUUCGGGUUGUAAACCGCUGUCAGUUGGGAGGAAAUCACAUGGGGUUCUCUCCAUGUGUUGACCUAUCUUCAGAGGAAGGACGGGCUAAGUUCGUGCCAGCAGCCGCGGUAAGACGAACCGUCCAAACGUUAUUCGGAAUUACUGGGCUUAAAGGGUGCGUAGGCGGCCCUGUAAGUUGGGUGUGAAAUCCCUCGGCUCAACCGAGGAAUUGCGCCCAAUACUGCAGGGCUAGAGGAAGAUAGAGGUGAGCGGAACUUGUGGUGGAGCGGUGAAAUGCGUUGAUAUCACAAGGAACACCUGUGGCGAAAGCGGCUCACUGGGUCUUUUCUGACGCUGAGGCACGAAAGCUGGGGGAGCGAACG
Molecule: ribosomal RNA, 424 nt
Filed under: uncultured prokaryote
Description: bacterial SSU rRNA
Rfam family: Bacterial small subunit ribosomal RNA
Source: RNAcentral